This 21-nucleotide non-coding RNA is filed under the name Caenorhabditis elegans. The record is from RNAcentral. Lineage: Eukaryota; Metazoa; Nematoda; Chromadorea; Rhabditida; Rhabditidae.
UCCUGGUAAAUAAGAAAUCUA